AGCAGUCGCCACGGUAAUACGUAGGUGGCAAGCGUUGUCCGGAAUUAUUGGGCGUAAAGCGCGCGCAGGCGGAUCAGUCAGUCUGUCUUAAAAGUUCGGGGCUUAACCCCGUGAGGGGAUGGAAACUGCUGAUCUAGAGUAUCGGAGAGGAAAGUGGAAUUCCUAGUGUAGCGGUGAAAUGCGUAGAUAUUAGGAAGAACACCAGUGGCGAAGGCGACUUUCUGGACGAAAACUGACGCUGAGGCGCGAAAGCCAGGGGAGCGAACGGGAUUAGAUACCCCCGUAGUCCCUGUCUCUUAUACA
Molecule: ribosomal RNA, 303 nt
Filed under: uncultured bacterium
Lineage: Bacteria
Description: partial 16S ribosomal RNA
Rfam family: Bacterial small subunit ribosomal RNA
Source: RNAcentral